AAAAGGAUUGAAGAACCGCAGAAUAAGGAACCAAUAACGCACACUGUUGUUCACGCCGUGAAAACUCAACUCGACUGAACCAGAGAGCGACGAGACGUGGGUUUUUAUACUUUUUCGGCGAGACCGUGCUGCCAGACUGUUCGAUUCUGGAAUUUUUGAACAGGGCGGGCAGCUACAUAACCCAAAUUGCAGCACAUUUCCAAUUGGCGGCAGAAAGCGAUGCAAAAGAAAACGAAGUAAAUAUUGAACAGGAAUUGCUGUACAUUUCCAAGUGGCGGCAGAAAGCAAAAAAAAAAAACAAAAUUGCCGCCAA
Molecule: non-coding RNA, 313 nt
Organism: Drosophila melanogaster (fruit fly)
Lineage: Eukaryota; Metazoa; Arthropoda; Insecta; Diptera; Drosophilidae
Source: Ensembl